ACCGGGGACGCUGAAAACCGAAAAGAGUAGGCA
Molecule: non-coding RNA, 33 nt
Filed under: unclassified sequences
Description: DUF805b RNA
Rfam family: DUF805b RNA
About the family: Bacteroidetes, Chlorobi (1 example), Proteobacteria. Lineage (Flavobacteria)
Source: RNAcentral